UUAUAUACUCUGAAUAUUAACUCCUUAUUAACUGUAUGAUUUGAAAAUAUUUUCUCCCUUUCCCCAGAUUGGCUUUCAUGCUGUUAAUUCUACUUUUUGAUACAGAAGAGGUUUAAAUUUUUAUGUAGCCAAAUUUGUCUAUUUUUACUUCUGUUGCUUGAACUUUUGGCAUCAUAUCCUCCAAAUCACUACCACAUCAAAUAUCAUAAAACGUUUUCACUAUAUUUUCUCCUAAGAGUUUUAUAGUUUUAGUUCUUAUGCUUAUUUUUUGGUGGAAAUUAAUUUUAUAUUUGAUGUUAGACUUUCAAGUUUCCAAAAAAUUCUUUUGCAUGUAGGAAUCAAGUUUCUUAGCAUCAUUUGUUGAAAAAGCUAUCAUUCCCCUAACUGAAUGCUGACUCACAGUUUUAAGAGAUUCAGAUCAUAGUAAGUGACAUCAUAGCAGAAAUAUUAAAGAAGGGUAUGGCAGAGCCAAGAUGCUUAAUUCAUAGUAACUAGGAAGCAGAAAAAUGCCAAAGAGGAAGGAGCAAGGGAUCAGAUAUACCCCCCGAGUUCACACCUCCAUGACCUACCCAGACGUACUAAGGGUGUGUUCUUCACUAAUUCCUUUGGUGUCUCUUAAGCCAGUCAUGCUGCCAUAAUUAAAAUGAACCACCACAUUCCAACCCUCACUAAUUUGACAUCCAAACACACUCCUGAGACCACACUUACACUCUGAUUAACAUGACAAGAUCUCAAUAAUUUCCUAACAUGGUGUAGCUUACCUAGCACACAGCCACAAACACAGUAACUCCUGCCUCAAGUCUCAACAGAUCCAGAACCUUCCAAGUUCUUCUGAGAUGCGAGGCAAACUCUUUGCUGUGAACCGCUAUACAGAUAAAAAGCAAGUUCAAUAUUCCCAAGGGAUAGUGCUAAAAAUUUGUUUUGAAUUUUAGAGAAGGCUUGGACUUGAACUUCCGAGCAAUGCUGGAACUGAGAAGACUUUGGGAACUCUGGGAAGUAGACUAGAUGCAUUUUAUAAUGUGAAACAGAUAUAAUCAUUUGUGGACCAACGAUGGAAUAUUGUGGCUUAAGUAUGAAACUGUGAAAUGUUCCCUGAAGAUUCAUGUAUUGAGGGCUUGAGCCCCAGUGCAACAGCGUUCAGGGAUGGAGCCUAUGAAAGCAACUAGAAGACGAGGACACUAACCUCAUCACUGGAUUAAUCCACUAGCUGAAUGGCCUGAAAGGAACGAGGUAUAUUUGAAGGAAGCGAGCCACUGGGACAUGUUUUUGAAGGAUAUAUUUAUUAUCAUCCUCUUUUCCUCUCUCUCUUCUCUUAGUCUUGAAGUAAGCAACUUUCCUUAGCCAUCAUUUCUACCAUGAUGAUUCUGCCUUGCAGUCGACUCACCACAAUCUGAAACCAUGACACCAAAAAGAUCUUAAGGGAUCUUUUCUCCUUUGAGAUUUUUCUUUGUUUAGAUAUUGGCCCCAGAGAUGGAAAGGUGACCAAAAAGCAACUGUUUGCAUGUUUGUUUGUUUGUUUGUUUGCUGUGAUAUUAACGAUUGAACAUAGGGCUUUCAUACUGAACUACAUACCCAGUCUUCUUUAGCUUUUUGACACAUGAUCUCACUAAGUCUCCACAUCUUCCAGCCUGGGCUUGAACUUUCAAUACUUCUGAUCCAUGGCCUUACUAAACCCCACCUCCUAUUUCUGUCAGUUUCCAAUAAUGUCAUCAGAUUAUGAUCAGAGAUUAAGCCACAAUUGAAGCUAGAACCUUCUUCAAAUAUUUCCUCAUAACCAGGGGCAACCAUGCCUUCAGCACCAUGAACCUUUUAGGAGGCACAUCCUGUCCAAGCCACAGAAGAUAUUUUAAACAAACAUGCAGGGCAGAAGUCCAAGUUUAAGAUUCUAAGGGAUUUGAUUUCUUGUGAGAUCUUGUUUGCUGGCCUUCUAGCUAUGCUCUUAUCUGGUCUCUCCUUGCUACAUACAGGGAGAGACAGAAGUGGGAAGGAAGGAAAGGGGGAGGGAGAAACAAGGAGGGAAGAAAAACUGAAAAAGAGAGUGAGAGAAAAACACUAUAGCUUUCUCUUCUCACAACAUCACUAGUUCUAUUGCAUAAAGUUUCCCAAUCUUAUAACUUUACCUCCUAACUUAUAACUGUACCACUCUGUCUAAAAAUAUAUUCACAUAGGUCAAAGGACUUCAACAUAUGAACAAAGAGUACAUUUAGUGUAUUGUUGUAAUACAUUAUUUUUUGGACAUUAAAUAUUGAAAGAGUGAUGAUAGUGGUAGUAGGGUGAAUAUGAUAAAAAGAAUUUUACACAAAAUUUUAUUUGUUCCUUCUCAGUGUGUGAGGAAAUUGCCUUGAACUGCAAAAGAGUCUAUUGGAAAACAGGCAGAUGAGUUUUCAAAGUUCAUGUGCUAAAUUGUCACACUGCUGGAUUUCCAUGCCCACUUGCUAUGAUACCUUUAAUUUUCUGUCAAAGAGGUAUCUAAAUAGGUUAGAAAAAU
Octodon degus (degu) is the source of this 2488-nucleotide long non-coding RNA. RefSeq lists it as uncharacterized. The record is from RefSeq and is a predicted model, not a curated record. The transcript has 2 exons. Lineage: Eukaryota; Metazoa; Chordata; Mammalia; Rodentia; Octodontidae.